This 469-nucleotide ribosomal RNA is filed under the name uncultured bacterium. Its description in RNAcentral is "partial 16S ribosomal RNA". It matches the Rfam family "Bacterial small subunit ribosomal RNA", at positions 28 to 507 of the family's 1533-position model. The record is from RNAcentral.
GACGAACGCUGGCGGCGUGCUUAACACAUGCAAGUCGAACGGAAAGGCCCUGCUUGCAGGGUGCUCGAGUGGCGAACGGGUGAGUAACACGUGGGUGAUCUGCCCCUUACUUUGGGAUAAGCCUGGGAAACUGGGUCUAAUACUGGAUAGGACCAUGCUGUAGGUGGUGUGGUGGAAAGAUUAGUUUCGGUAAGGGAUGAGCUCGCGGCCUAUCAGCUUGUUGGUGGGGUAAUGGCCUACCAAGGCGUCGACGGGUAGCCGGCCUGAGAGGGUGGACGGCCACAUUGGGACUGAGAUACGGCCCAGAAUCCUACGGGAGGCAGCAGUGGGGAAGAUUGCACAAUGGGCGCAAGCCUGAUGCAGCGACGCCGCGUGGGGGAUGACGGCCUUCGGGUUGUAAACUCCUUUCAGCCAUGACGAAGCCCUUGUGGUGACGGUAGUGGUAGAAGAAGCACCGGCUAACUACGUG